Molecule: ribosomal RNA, 391 nt
Filed under: uncultured bacterium
Lineage: Bacteria
Description: bacterial SSU rRNA
Rfam family: Bacterial small subunit ribosomal RNA
Source: RNAcentral
GUUGGAAACGACGGCUAAUACCGGAUGCGGCGCCUUGGGGGACAUCCCCGGGGCGCCAAAGGGGGGCCCAAAAGGCUCCCGCCCGCGGAGAGGCUCGCGCACCAUCAGCUAGUUGGCGGGGUAACGGCCCACCAAGGCUCACGGUUAGCUGGUCUGAGAGGAUGACCCAGCCCCCACUGGGGACUGAGACACUGCCCAGACUCCUACGGGAGGCUGCAGUCGAGGAUCAUUUGCAAUGGGCGAAAGCCUGACAAUGCGACGCUGCGUGGAGGAAUGAAGGCCUUCGGGUUGUAAACUCCUGUCAUGGAGGAACAGGCGAGGAUACCCAACACGUAUCUUAGUUGAGUGUACCCCAAGAGGAAGGGACGGCUAACUCUGUGCCAGCAGCCGC